Molecule: ribosomal RNA, 497 nt
Filed under: uncultured bacterium
Lineage: Bacteria
Description: partial 16S ribosomal RNA
Rfam family: Bacterial small subunit ribosomal RNA
Source: RNAcentral
GAUGAACGCUGGCGGCGUGCCUAAUACAUGCAAGUCGAGCGAACGGACGAGAAGCUUGCUUCUCUGAUGUUAGCGGCGGACGGGUGAGUAACACGUGGAUAACCUACCUAUAAGACUGGGAUAACUUCGGGAAACCGGAGCUAAUACCGGAUGAUAUUUUGAACCGCAUGGUUCAAAGGUGAAAGACGGUCUUGCUGUCACUUAUAGAUGGAUCCGCGCUGCAUUAGCUAGUUGGUAAGGUAACGGCUUACCAAGGCAACGAUGCAUAGCCGACCUGAGAGGGUGAACGGCCCCCCUGGAACUGAGACACCGGCCAGACCCCUAAGGGAGGCAGCAGUAGGGAAUCCUCCGGAAUGGGCGGAAGCCUGACGGAGCAACGGCGCGUGAGUGAUGAAGGUCUUCGGAUCGUAAAACUCUGGUAUUAGGGAAGAAAAUAUGUGGAAGUAACUGGGGACCUCUUGACGGUACCUAAUCAGAAAGCCACGGCUAACUACGUG